AACGCGAAGAACCUUACCCAGGCUCGAAAUGUAGGUGACGUAUCCAGAGAUGGAUACUUCCGCAAGGACACUUAUAUAGGUGCUGCAUGGCUGUCGUCAGCUCGUGCCGUGAGGUGUUUGGUUAAGUCCAGCAACGAGCGCAACCCUUAUCAUUAGUUGCCAACACGAAAGGUGGGAACUCUAAUGAGACUGCCUGGGUUAACCAGGAGGAAGGUGAGGAUGACGUCAAGUCCGCAUGGCCUUUAUGUCUGGGGCUACACACGUGCUACAAUGGUCGGUACAGAAGGUGGCAAUACCGCAAGGUGGAGCAAAUCCGAAAAGCCGAUCUCAGUUCAGAUUGUAGUCUGCAACUCGACUACAUGAAGUUGGAAUUGCUAGUAAUGACGUGUCAGCUACAACGUCGUGAAUACGUUCCCGGGCCUUGUACACACCGCGUGUCU
RNAcentral lists this ribosomal RNA (440 nucleotides) under uncultured bacterium. RNAcentral's name for it is "bacterial SSU rRNA". It matches the Rfam family "Bacterial small subunit ribosomal RNA", at positions 958 to 1399 of the family's 1533-position model. The record is from RNAcentral.